GUAGCUCAGAAGGCUAGGGUGCUGGCCCUAUAUGCCAGAGGUCGCAGGUUCAAACCCAGCC
This 61-nucleotide transfer RNA is filed under the name Otolemur garnettii (small-eared galago). It matches the Rfam family "tRNA", at positions 7 to 64 of the family's 71-position model. Rfam says of the family: Transfer RNA (tRNA) molecules are approximately 80 nucleotides in length. Their secondary structure includes four short double-helical elements and three loops (D, anti-codon, and T loops). Further hydrogen bonds mediate the characteristic L-shaped molecular structure. tRNAs have two regions of fundamental functional importance: the anti-codon, which is responsible for specific mRNA codon recognition, and the 3' end, to which the tRNAs corresponding amino acid is attached (by aminoacyl-tRNA synthetases). tRNAs cope with the degeneracy of the genetic code in two manners: having more than one tRNA (with a specific anti-codon) for a particular amino acid; and 'wobble' base-pairing, i.e. permitting non-standard base-pairing at the 3rd anti-codon position. Lineage: Eukaryota; Metazoa; Chordata; Mammalia; Primates; Galagidae. The record is from Rfam by way of RNAcentral.